AGGCCAUGGUGUGGGCAAACUCGUUGGAGCUCUUUAUAGCUAUCCCAUGCCUCAUAUAGGGAUUCAUUUUCAUGUUGGGUAAACGAGGUUAUUUCUUUGAUAAGCCU
Jatropha curcas is the source of this 107-nucleotide non-coding RNA. The record is from Rfam. NCBI's taxonomy places the organism in Eukaryota, Viridiplantae, Streptophyta, Magnoliopsida, Malpighiales, Euphorbiaceae.